Molecule: non-coding RNA, 2114 nt
Organism: Xyrichtys novacula (pearly razorfish)
Lineage: Eukaryota; Metazoa; Chordata; Actinopteri; Labriformes; Labridae
Source: the annotation of a GenBank genome assembly
UCAGCCAUGAACUAAGCUGCGGCUCUCUCCUCUCUUUCUCUUUCCAGAUCUUUCCAUCCUCUACUUCUCCGUCUGUCUUUCGCGGUAGGUGAUGUUUUAACACCAAAUAUCAUUGUACGGACCAUUGUUAGGCCUUCACACGGCAGAAACGUUAUUUAUACAGUGUUGACAUGUCCGGUUCAGCUGUCCGGUUUGUGGUGUUUUAUUACAGUCUGUCGGGUUACAGAGCCCGCUGAGUCCGGAGUUGAGGUUAAAGUGUGAGACACUAAAACACGACGAGCUGAAGGUCAGGGGUAAAACAAUGCUGUUAUUUAAUCUCAACUUUGAGAAAAAUGCACGUCAGAGCAGGAGGUUAAUGUACCAUCUACCUUAGAGGUGUGAGAAGAAAACUGACACUUAAAUAAGAAUAACCUCUAUAUUUAAGUGGUUUUUACUGUGAAAUAAUCGUUUUUAAGGGUUUACCUUUUCAUUUAAGUAUAAGAUCUAGUAUAAUAGCUGACUAUGCAACUGCCACGUGUGCACAUGAACCCAAAAGUAGGCUGGACAGUUAUAGUAUUAAAAGGUUUUCGUGUGUAAUAUUUUCGGGUUUUGCAGGACUUAAGUAAAAAAAAAUUCAAGUGCACGUAAAUCGCAACGUUUACUGAGUGUAUUCAGUGUUAGUGUGAAGACAUGCAGACUGCCCUGUUUGAGCUCUUUUUUUUGCCUUAAGUGUUUGUAUAUUUUUCUGUAAACCGAGUCCCCUAACAAGACUGCCAUGACGUUUGCUUGUACUUUGAAUGCAGAUUAUUCCACUCAAAUUGGAUCUAUUUGAAUGUGAUGUAAUGAUCAUUCAAGUGCACUGUACAUUUUGCUUUAUCACUUUGUUGUAAACCGUAGGAUAGGUGAAUAAGGCCAUCACACCCUGGAAGACCAAACAAGAGUCAUCAAAUCUAUAACCUCUAUUCUAUAAAAGCAGGGGCGCUGUUUAAAAUAAUUAAAACUAAUUUUGUUGUAAAUCAUUUAAAGUCUUAUUUGAUUGAAAACAGUGCAGAGACUAUAGACCCACUUAAAAUAGGACAAAGGAGACCCUGAACUGAUGAUUUUUAAAAACUCACUGUUGCUCAUGUCUGAUAUUUCUACUUGUGUGUGUGUGUGUGUGUGUGUGUGUGUGUGUGUGUGUGUGUGUGUGUGUGUGUGUUUGUGUGUGUGUGUGUACGCCUCUUGUCCCAGUCCAGCCCAGUGUUUCAUACUGGGUGUGUUUGAGGUCUGAGGAGGCAGAGCAGAGCAGAGGUGUUACCCAUUCCACCCUCAGCCUCAGUGUGGCUCUGUGGUGGAAGAAGUCCCUGCUACAAAAUACUCACUGUACUUCACCUGUUAUUCAGACUGUGACAUAGCACCUGAUUACAAGUUUAAAACAGUUUUACAGUUUAAACAGUUUAAAACAUAAGAAUUUUCUGAUAUUGUGUGUGGGACUGUUAGCUGUCUUUAAUGCCCAACAACUAAACUUAUCCCCAUCUAUCUCAGUAAGCCAUUGUCUGAGGCCGUUUCAGUCAUAACUUCCAACAUUUGGAAGCUACAGCUCUUCAGAUUUGAGUCUUUCUUGCUUUAUCUUAUUUGUGACAAAAAAGAAGAGUUUCUGAGUUUAAGGUUGUUUGUUGGUCAAACACAGAAAUACUGAGACUAAACUGUCCAUUUUUUUUGACACCUUACAGACUAAUUAUUGUCAGUGUGUUGUAAAAAAGCUAAUUAAAGACAUCUUUCUUCUUCUUUCUUUCUUUUCUUAAUCAUCAUGUCCUGUAGGAUCCAGUGAGGAUGACGAGGAAACAACAGCAGAACCAAAACAGUCCAACCAAGUUAACAAGUUUGUUUCUGCAUUUUUCCAGAACUUUCCAAAAAAAAAAUUUCAGGAAAUGUUUCUCUCUGCAAGGACUUUUUUUAUCCUCAGUAUUAAAGAGUAAGAUUAAACCCUGGGUAAUGCCCUGUUAAAGCAUGCAGACUUUGUAAGGUUUAAACUGUUUUUGCAGGAAAACAAAGAGAAUAUCAGAGGAAAUAUGACAUAGUCAAGGUUUUAUUAAGUUUUGACUUGAAUAAGAUUCACUUAUGACAUCAAAAGAAUAAAGUUGUGUUAAACCUUA